RNAcentral lists this unclassified non-coding RNA (375 nucleotides) under uncultured Gammaproteobacteria bacterium. RNAcentral's name for it is "contains 16S-23S intergenic spacer region". The record is from RNAcentral. Lineage: Bacteria; Pseudomonadati; Pseudomonadota; Gammaproteobacteria.
UCCGGUUCAUCACCGGCAGUCUCCUUAGAGUCCCCAACUAAAUGAUGGCAACUAAGGAUAAGGGUUGCGCUCGUUACGGGACUUAACCCAACAUCUCACAACACGAGCUGACGACAGCCAUGCAGCACCUGUCUCUAGGUUCCUUUCGGCACUCCAACCUCUCAGUCGGAUUCCUAGGAUGUCAAGAGUAGGUAAGGUUCUUCGCGUUGCAUCGAAUUAAACCACAUGCUCCACCGCUUGUGCGGGCCCCCGUCAAUUCCUUUGAGUUUCAACCUUGCGGCCGUACUUCCCAGGCGGAAGACUUAUCGCGUUUGCUUCAAUACUGAUAGGUUCCCCUACCAACAUUUAGUCCUCAUCGUUUACAGCGUGGACUAC